AUUAUUUAAGAGGUAAAUAUUGUUAGUAAAUAAAAAUUACGAAAGCAAAAAAUUAUGGCGGUAUUUUAAGCUUUUCAGAGGAAUUUGCUCUUUAAUGGAUAAAACACCUGAAUCUUACUUAAAUUUGUUAAUUCAAUUUGUAUACCACUAUAAAAACAAUUAAUAACUUUAAUUGUUUAAACUUAUUAAAUUAAAUUAUAUUAAGUCAAGGUGCAGUAAAAAUUUAAGAAUGAAGUGAAUUACAUUUCUUUUUAGAGAAAGAAAUUUAAAUAACAUUUAGGAU
RNAcentral lists this ribosomal RNA (283 nucleotides) under Rhipicephalus sanguineus (brown dog tick). RNAcentral describes it as "partial 12S small ribosomal RNA". Lineage: Eukaryota; Metazoa; Arthropoda; Arachnida; Ixodida; Ixodidae. The record is from RNAcentral.